AUCGAAGCGCAUAAGGAGCUUCACAUGCUUGUAUCUCUCUCCCCUCUUAUUGUACAAUGGCACUGCUCGGAUUCCUGAUUGGAGCUCUUUCACCGGCAAACAUGUCUGCCCCGCGAAGUCAUCUUUUCCAGAGGUACCCACUGGUUUUCAAUGGGGAUGGUUUUUCUCGUCGCUCUAUCCUUUCCAACCCCGACCAUUCUGAUCUGUAACCGCAAUCAAACUUUCAUAUUCUGGAAUAUCGAUUUCUUCAUCUUUAUCCAACUCCUCCAUAUACCCCUGAAAAGGCAGAAUGAGAACUGCAUCAAGAAUUCUACAUCAUGUUCACUUGUGGAAAGCAAUUUCAGAAGUUGAGGAGAUUAUGGAAGUGUGAAUCUUUCAGAGCUUGCACUCUCAUCUGCUGGUGGUUUUUCCCUGGUGGUACGCUCUGGUGGUUUGGUAGAAAUCAGAAUCUUUCCCUUAAGUAACUCCGGCGAUGGAAAUUCAUUCAAGUAUUCUCCAGGUUCAGGAACAUAGAGGAUGCUCCCAAAUGUUGACUUAAGCAUCUACACUUUAUUACAGAGGUAAAAGAAGAAUUCAUGGUACUUAGAAAAUAAUGGUAGUCUUUGGACAGUUUGUGACUAUUCUAAUACUAAUUUUUGGUCCAAUUACAUAUUUAGACCUUCAAACUUUGAGAUGGGUGUCUUGUCAUUUUU
Cucumis melo (muskmelon) is the source of this 692-nucleotide long non-coding RNA. RefSeq lists it as uncharacterized. The record is from RefSeq and is a predicted model, not a curated record. NCBI's taxonomy places the organism in Eukaryota, Viridiplantae, Streptophyta, Magnoliopsida, Cucurbitales, Cucurbitaceae. The transcript has 4 exons.